Gadus chalcogrammus (walleye pollock) is the source of this 973-nucleotide long non-coding RNA. RefSeq lists it as uncharacterized. The record is from RefSeq and is a predicted model, not a curated record. The transcript is spliced from 3 exons. Lineage: Eukaryota; Metazoa; Chordata; Actinopteri; Gadiformes; Gadidae.
AAGGGGGAACCUAGGUUCCCCUUAUUAAAAGGGGAACCUAUUACGUUUCUAUUAUGAAGAAUCAUCGAGGGGCAUACUUCUUGUUAACAGAGACGACUGUUUGACAUUUCCUUCAGAGAACCCACACCCAACUGCUGCUGUGUUUAAGGAUGUUCUAGAUUCUUAACGACGAUUGUUGGAAAAUUUCAUUCAGAGAACACACAUCAAUUGCCCUCUGCGAUACUGAUCUGCAGCCUGUGAUGACGCCAUCAGUGACUGGUGGCUGUCCAUUGGCUCUUGUCAUUCUGCUUCUCGUGUCCAUGGAUCCUAUAGCCACUGAGGUGGUGAACUCAGUCAACGACUGUACUGAAUUCUUCCUGGAUGGAACCCCACCGGAUAUACUAGGAGUCCUGCAGCAGGGGACCAUUCAGGACCCGAAUCGCUACAAGCCCAUUUGCCAGGAAUAUAAAAAUACCAGGAGGUUCAUGACGCUCUAUGACACAGUUAAUAAGAUCCCAGUGUUUUCUGCAUAUAAAUACACAGGAGACGACGGAAGCAAAAGACCAAGAAAACCGAAGUGGAUGUUUGAGCCAAAGCUUGAAGAUGGGGGAAGCAACAGCAACAUGAAACACCUGAAUAAAAGAAAAAAAUACUCCAAACAAGCUAGUUUUUCCGACUAUUCUCAUCAAACGGACUAUGAUAAAGGCCACAUCUUUCCAAGUGCUCAUGCUCACAACAAAUUAGAUAAGGAGGCUACAUUUACCUUGACUAACAUUGUGCCACAAUCCCGCACAUUUAAUAAUGGAAGCUGGCAAAGAAUGGAGAAAUGUGUCAGAUGUGUGAUGCAUGAAUACUGUUUGAACCAAAACAACCAACAUGAAGCAUUUGUCGUGACUGGAGCAAUUCCCAAUGCAAACAAGACUCUCAAAAACAAGGUCAACAAUAUUCCAAAAACUCUCUGGACAGCAUUUUGCUGCUAUAGCACAGUUACGGG